UACGUAGGGUGCAAGCGUUAAUCGGAAUUACUGGGCGUAAAGCGUGCGCAGGCGGUUUUGUAAGUCUGUCGUGAAAGCCCCGGGCUUAACCUGGGAAUUGCGAUGGAGACUGCAAGGCUUGAAUCUGGCAGAGGGGGGUAGAAUUCCACGUGUAGCAGUGAAAUGCGUAGAUAUGUGGAGGAAUACCGAUGGCGAAGGCAGCCCCCUGGGAUAACACUGACGCUCAUGCACGAAAGCGUGGGGAGCAAACAGG
Molecule: ribosomal RNA, 253 nt
Filed under: uncultured bacterium
Lineage: Bacteria
Description: partial 16S ribosomal RNA
Rfam family: Bacterial small subunit ribosomal RNA
Source: RNAcentral